Hypanus sabinus (Atlantic stingray) is the source of this 4586-nucleotide long non-coding RNA. RefSeq lists it as uncharacterized. NCBI's taxonomy places the organism in Eukaryota, Metazoa, Chordata, Chondrichthyes, Myliobatiformes, Dasyatidae. The record is from RefSeq and is a predicted model, not a curated record. The transcript has 3 exons.
UUAAACAGUGGGAGUUUCGGGCAGGACGAAUGUUUUGAUGAAAGGAACCGCCAACUGUUUAUUUCCCUACAAAGUUGCUACCCGAGCUGCUGGGACAGCGUAUUGUCAUUUCUGUGAACACCACAAGCAUUUUGUCUAUUUUAAUCAAGACUCCCAGCAUAUGCAGAUUCAACAGGAUCCUAAACUGCUCGGUCACGCCUGCCCUAAGUAACGGGUGCAAAUAUCACCCAGAAGAUUCUAUGACAUAGGAGCAGCAUUGUCUGCUCCGCCUUUCCAUCAUGGCUGAUAUAUAAUCCCUCUCAACCCCAUUCUCCUGCCUUCUCCCUUUAACCUUUGAUGCCCUGAUUAAUCAAACUCUGCUUUAAAUACAUCCAAUGACUUGGCAAACACAGCUGUCUGUGGCAAUACAGUAAGUUCCACAGAUUCACCACCCACUGGCGAAAGAAAUUUUUCCUCAUCUCUGUUUCAAAUGGGCAUGCCUUAAUUCUGAUGUUGUGCACUCUGUUCCAAGACUACCCUACUAUAGGAAACAUCCACUGUAUCUAGGCAUUUCAAAUUUGGAUAGGUUUCAAUAAUAUCCUCCCUCUCCCCACCCACAUUCUUCUAAACUCCAGCAAGUGCAGGCCCAGAGCCAUCAAACGUUCUUCAUAUAUUAACUCUUUCAUUUCUGGGAUCAUCUUGUGAACUCAGCCACAACUCAGAGAAGCCACAACAUCAUACCCACCAAUCUCUGAAUGCAUGGUCCUCCAGUCCUGGCAACAUCCUUGUAAAUUGACAUCUUUCCUGUAGAAACUUUUGGAGCCUGCGAUGUGCAGUUUGGAAUUUGGUGAAUGAUCUUGCGCUCUGCUGUGUCCUGGGAGCUGCCUCGUGGAGGUCCAGAGAUGGGGACUCAAAGAAGAUUGAGAACACAAAACGAUUUGUGGAAAAGACCAGAGAUGGGGUAUGAGGUCACGCUCUAUUUCACAGCGUCGAGGAAGAUUAAGGAUCAAGGUGGAUACAGAGGGGGUCAGUGUUUGCUCUCAAUGGAGGCCACAGGGGCAUCGACAGUUGGUAUCUGGGUUGGCGGUGUUUGGACCGGAGGUGGCACUCAAACCCAGCAUGCCGUUGACUCGUCACAGAAGGACUGAGUUUGUGCGGCCGCUCUCCUCAAAUGCAAACAGGAAGAUGUUUUCGAUAUUCUGAGAUUUAUGUCAUCGUUGGACUGUACUUUAUAUUGGCUUCCUUCAGUUUUUGGGUGUUUUCUUUCUUGUGGCUGAUUGGUGGGUGGGUGAUUUGUUAGUUUUUGUGAGGGGGGUGUUUGGGGGUUUGGGGUCCAAUUUUCUUCUUGGUGUUUUUUUGUUUGUGAGAUCUGUUAGUUUUUGUGUGUGAGAGAGGGGGUCGGGGGUUUUGAUACCAUUGGCGCUGUCCUUUUCUGUAGGGGAGGGUUUGGAGAUUUGAUGUUAUGUCACUGUUCUUUUUCUCUUUGUGGGGAGGGUUGGGAUUUGUGAGUUUUGUUUCAUUUCCUUUUUGUGUCGGGUGUGGGGGGAGUUGAUGCCAUUUCUUUCAACAACCCCCAUGGUUUUUCUGUAUUUCGUGGCUCUCUGGAGAAGGCAAAUAUCAGAGUUGUACAUGCAUACUUUGACAAUAAAAUGAACCUCUGAACCUUUAUUAAUUUGCACGGCAACUUUGAGGGAUCUAUGUACACGGACCCUAAGAUCCAUCUAUCCCUUCACACUGCUGAGAACCCUGCCAUUAACCCUGUAUUCUGUCUUCAAAUUCAUCCUCCAAAAUGAAUCAUGGGUUGAACCCCAGCUGUCAUUUCUCAGCCCAGCUCUGUAUCCUGUCAAUGCUCCAUUGCAACCUAUAACAAUCUCCACGCUAUCCACAACUCCACCAAUCUUCAUGUCAUCUGGUAACUUGCUAAGCCAGUCUUCCACUUCCUCGUACAGGUCAUUUAUUAAAAUCACAAAGAACAGUGGUCCCAGAACAGAUCACUGUGUAACAUCACGGGUCACUGACCUCCAGGCAGAAUACUCUCCGUCUACUCCCACCCUCUGCCUUCAUAGGCAAGCAAAUUUUGUUACCACUCAUCGAGUUUUCCCUGGAUCUCGUGCCUCCUGAAUUUCGAAUGAGCCUUUCAUGGGUAACCUUCUCAAACACCCUAUUAAAAUCCAUAUACACCACAGCCACUACUCUACCAUCAUCAUUAUGCUUUUUCAUAUCUUCAAAUAGGUCAAACAGGCUCAUGAGGAACCUGUCUCUCACAAAGCAAUGCUGACUGGUGGCUUUCCAUCAUAUCCAGUGAUGACAGGAAACCUGUGUGGGAGAGUUUUUAAAGAGGAAAAGCCAUUGCACUGGGGCAGUUCCACUCUCUCAAGCUCGGAAGUCCCGGUCCAGUAGUACAAACAAAGAUCACAAACCGCGGUCUUCCUUGGUUGCAAUGGAUGACCAUGACAUCUUCUGUGCCUUGUCAAGCCCUUCGCUCUCCAUGGUGUGUUGCAGUACCUCCUUCCCAGUCAUUGGAUGUCUCUGCAGACCUUAUUUACCCAGUCUGCCGGAGAUAAUUUCACUGUCUCACCAGAAUACGAGGCCACUGGCUAUUACCUUACCUGGUUUAGCCUGCCUAUCAAAGUAGUGCACUUGGGUGUGGCUGCUGUUGAAUGCAAACAGCUAGUUGGAGCCACAGGUGAGAGCUGAAUGUCUGGUGGGGACCAAAGGUGAGUGGGCUGCCCCGGAACAGACAUAACAAACCCUUUCACCAGAGAUGCUUCCCCUCCCUGGACACCCCAUACACCCCGACUAUGAAUAUUUAUGAGUAUUUGGAGAACCAGACCAAAUGGUCAUAAAUUCUGUCUCUAAGAAUUCUCUCCAAUAAUUUCCCCACCACUGAAGUAAGACUCACUUGUCUAUAAUUCCCAGUGUUAUCCCCUUUCCCUUUCUUGAAUAUCACUUGUCACCUUCCAAUCAUCUGGUACUUCUCCUGUGGCCAGUGGGAAUGUAAAAAUCAUCACCAAGGGUACAACAAUCUCUUCCCAUGGUAAGCUGGGGACUUAUCUAUUGUAAUGUUUUUCCACAGUUCAUCAUCUUUCUUAAUAUUGACAUGUUCCACUAUAUCAGCCUGUUUUACACCAUCCUCACAACUGCUGAGGUUUGUCUUACUAGUCAAUACUGAAGCAAAAUAUUCAAUAAGGUCCUGUCCUACCUCCCCCCCAACUCCAGGCAUAUUUUUCUACCCCUGAUCAGUUCAUUCUCUCACUCUGGCCAUCUGCCUGUUCUUCACGUACAUAUAGAAAAUCUAUCCAGAAUCCCCAGCAAGUGCUCCCUAAAUAACAUCCACAUUUUCAGUUCCCUGAGUACAUCAGUUCCCAACUUAUGCUCCCAAGUUCCUGCCUAGUAGCAUUAUAAGUCGCACUCUUCCAAUUAAAUAUUAUCCCAUACUGUCUGCCCCUAACCCUUUCCAAGGCCAGGAAUUUGUGAUCACUGUAUCCGAAAUGCUCUGCCGCAGAAAGAUCCGACACCUGACUUGGCAGUUCAUUGCUGAGAACCAGAUCCGGUAUGGCCGAGUCAGUCUGUCUACGUACUGGGUCAGGAAUCCCUCCCGGAUACAAUUAACAAUCCCGCCCCCUUGGAAGCUUUGCGUUAAGGAGAUGCCAAUCCAUAUUAGUGAAAUUGAAGUCACAAAUGACACCAACCCUCUUAUUUUUGCAUCUUUCCAAACUCCCCUUCCUGAUCUGUUCCUCAGUAUUUAAAGGAAUUACCACAUCAAUCAAAUCAAGUUUAAUUAUCAUUCAACCAUACAUGGGUACAGCAGAAUGAGACAGUGUUCCUCUGGGGCAAGGUGCAAAACAUAUGCAGCAUGUUCAAAAUUAGUGAGAAAAAAAACAUGGUCACGUAAGAAUUUCUUCUAGUUAACUGGUAUUCCUGCUGGGCAACAAGUGAUGGUUAAAAAAAGGCAAAUAACUCACGAUUCUUCCCUCCUGACCUCUGUUCAGCUCUCAGGUUAUAAACAAAUGGCAGCAGCAUCUCCGAUUAUACUCCUUCCCCACAAAACCUUUGUGUUAUUUGUCCCAGGCUUCAGUGUAUCCUUCAGCAGAGGAUUAGCAACUCAGAGGUUUGCAAGACAGAUCAAAGUGCAACGAGGUGCCGAUAAGGAAACGCUGCCAACGGGCACAUUCCAGGCAAUAGGGGUAGAUACUGAGGCACACUGGGGCUCGAUGCAGCUCUUACAGAGGCCUUGUGGGGAUGGUCCACUGUCUAAGCUCCUGAGGGGCUGAAUCCAAUGUAACAGCCUCUCAAACAGGUUAUGGAGGUACUGCUUAAAGAAGAAACAUAGAACAUAGAACAGCAUGGCACAGUACAGGCCCUUUGGCUCACAAUGUUAUGACCUUUUACCCUACACGAAGAUCAGUCUAACCCUUCACUCCUACAGAGCCAUCCAUUUUCCUAUCAUCCAUAUAUCAAACAUCAAUGGCUCUGACACACAGUAAGUAGAAUGUAUUGGUUUGACGGUAGACUGAUUGUACUUAUUUAUUGACACUUUGAAUGUAAAGCGAGUAAGUACUGACGGUAUUGCAUUUCCUGUGUAUGUCUUUCUGAAUAAAAUUUAG